The sequence is a ribosomal RNA, 351 nucleotides long. The stretch from base 1 to 105 matches the Rfam family "5.8S ribosomal RNA", at positions 50 to 154 of the family's 154-position model.
GAAAUGCGAUAAGUAAUGUGAAUUGCAGAAUUCAGUGAAUCAUCGAAUCUUUGAACGCACCUUGCGCUCCUUGGUAUUCCAAGGAGCAUGCCUGUUUGAGUGUCAUGAAAUUCUCAACUCAUAAAUCUUUUUGGUUUAUGAGCUUGGAUUUUGGAGGCUUGUUGAGUCCUUGUAACAUGGGUCUUAGCUCCUCUUGAAUGCAUUAGCUUGAUUCCGUGCGGAUCGGCUCUCAGUGUGAUAAUUAUCUAUGCUGUGGUCGUGAAGUGUUUGGCAAGCUUCUAAUUGUCCUCUCAAAGGGACAACACUCUGACAUCUGACCUCAAAUCAGGUAGGACUACCCGCUGAACUUAA